AUCUAGCACCUUGGGUUCAUUCAGAGUCCGGGUCUUGUUCAAAACAGCUUCCUUGCACAAAGUCCAAUCUCCCUUCACAUCCUUCACCUCAUCAAGAAGCGAAGUAAGCUCCACUAAGAAGUGAUCUAGCUUGGCUUGAACAUCUAGCUUGAUGCCGUCUAGCACGGAGCUGAGGACUCCCUGGAAUUGGCCUUGAAACUCAUCCACUACAGCUUCGAAGCCCCCUUUCGACCACGGCAAUCUCCAUCUUAGAAAGUCGCUUCUCCAUCAUGGCUACCACAUCUCUAGAUCGUUCCCUCUUUGAUUUGCCCCCACGAUCCAUGUUGACCUUGGACAGGUCUGUCUCCACAUCUGAUUAGAGAAAUGAUAGCUAAAAUAGGGUACGGGAUGUGUUUAUUAUGUAAAUCAAGCGGCCAGAGCCUUAUGUAAAAGAGAGAGAGAAAG
RNAcentral lists this long non-coding RNA (444 nucleotides) under Prunus persica (peach). RNAcentral's name for it is "long non-coding RNA (PPER_LNC002186)". Lineage: Eukaryota; Viridiplantae; Streptophyta; Magnoliopsida; Rosales; Rosaceae. The record is from RNAcentral.